Molecule: ribosomal RNA, 1046 nt
Filed under: unidentified archaeon
Lineage: Archaea
Description: bacterial SSU rRNA
Rfam family: Archaeal small subunit ribosomal RNA
Source: RNAcentral
UCCGGUUGAUCCUGCCAGAGGUUACUGCUAUCGAGGUUCGACUAAGCCAUGCGAGUCGAAUGUAGCAGUACAUGGCGAACUGCUCAGUAACACGUGGACAACCUGCCCUUAGGUUGGGUAUAAACCCGGGAAACUGGGUAUAAUACCCGAUAGGUCUCGAUUGCUGGAAUGCAUCGAGAUUUAAAGCUCCGGCGCCUAAGGAUGGGUCUGCGGCCUAUCAGGUAGUAGUGGGUGUAGCGUACCUACUAGCCUACGACGGGUACGGGUUGUGAGAGCAAGAGCCCGGAGAUGGAUUCUGAGACACGAAUCCAGGCCCUACGGGGUGCAGCAGGCGCGAAAACUUUACAAUGCUGGCAACAGCGAUAAGGGAACCUCGAGUGCCAGGUUACAAAUCUGGCUGUCGAGAUGCCUAAAAAGCAUUUCAUAGCAAGGGCCGGGCAAGACCGGUGCCAGCCGCCGCGGUAACACCGGCGGCUCGAGUGGUAACCGUUAUUAUUGGGUCUAAAGGGUCUGUAGCCGGCCGGAUAAGUCUCUUGAGAAAUCUGGCAGCUUAACUGUCAGGCUUUCAGGAGAUACUGUCUGGCUCGAGGCCGGGAGAGGUGAGAGGUACUUCAGGGGUAGGGGUGAAAUCUUGUAAUCCUUGAAGGACCACCAGUGGCGAAGGCGUCUCACCAGAACGGACCUGACGGCAAGGGACGAAAGCUAGGGGCACGAACCGGAUUAGAUACCCGGGUAGUCCUAGCCGUAAACGAUACUCGCUAGGUGUCGGCCACGGUGCGACCGUUGUCGGUGCCGUAGGGAAGCCGUGAAGCGAGCCACCUGGGAAGUACGGCCGCAAGGCUGAAACUUACAGGAAUUGGCGGGGGAGCACCACAACGGGUGGAGCUUGCGGUUUAAUUGGAUUCAACGCCGGAAAUCUUACCGGGACCGACAGCAAUAUGAAGGCCAGGCUGAAGACUUUGCCGGAUUAGCUGAGAGGUGGUGCAUGGCCGUCGUCAGUUCGUACUGUGAAGCAUCCUGUUAAGUCAGGUAACGAGCGAGACCCA